ACGCUCGACACCUACGGGAGGCAGCAGUGGGGGAUAUUGCACAAUGGGGGAAACCCUGAUGCAGCGACGCCGCGUGAAGGAAGAAGGCCUUCGGGUUGUAAACUUCUGUCGUACGGGACGAUAAUGACGGUACCGUACAAGAAAGCCACGGCUAACUACGUGCCUGCAGCCGCGGUAAUCUGAGCGGGCUGGCAAGGC
This 198-nucleotide ribosomal RNA is filed under the name uncultured bacterium. Its description in RNAcentral is "partial 16S ribosomal RNA". It matches the Rfam family "Bacterial small subunit ribosomal RNA", at positions 328 to 539 of the family's 1533-position model. The record is from RNAcentral.